Molecule: unclassified non-coding RNA, 2012 nt
Filed under: Hevea brasiliensis (rubber tree)
Lineage: Eukaryota; Viridiplantae; Streptophyta; Magnoliopsida; Malpighiales; Euphorbiaceae
Source: RNAcentral
UUUUACUCCAUCAAUCUAAAAUGAUGAUAUAUUGAAAAUAUUUCAAGGGUUUUGUCGUACUAAUAAAGUUAAUAUUGACACAAAAAAAAUUAAAGAUCACAAUAUCAGCAGAACGAAAAAAUGCAAUGGUAGUAUAAUGAUCUAAAGAAAAAUAGAAGAUACAUAUUGGAGGUAGAGUAGAGGCGCAGUGAGUCCAUAGCCAACGAACAAUUUGCUGUGUUGGCUGCAAUGAGGGAAUCAGCAUUGACAAAUGCCUUGAUCAUGAAAUCAAAGCUGAAUACUUCAACAUAGAAUACUCACAUAAAUGCAUUGCCAUAUUUUCUAUAGCUGGUCACCUCCUAUUUACAGCAUGUAUCUCUCUGCCAUUUACCUCCAACGUCCAGCAAGAGUAGAUGAAACAGAAAGAAGCCCACCAUGCCAUAAGCAAGAUUUAUGCCAUUUCUCUUGGUCAACGCAAAGAGGUUAAAUAUUUUGUUAGACAAAUGUAUGAUUAAAAUUCAAUCUCCUCUUGUUUCGUUUAUUGGCAUCCCUAAAUUCUACCAAUGAGGGAAGAGGCCGUGGCACAGGCACAUUCAUUGAUCUGUAUAAAUUUUUCAAGGUUUCGCUAAAGUUUCUUGAUGAUCCAAUGGGGGAAUAAGAUGCAGCCUUAUGUUUCUUCACUGAUUCCUGACAUUUUUCUUCAGUAACACAAAUUUCUAGCUUUUUCUCAGAUUUAUUCUCAUGUUUCACUGCAGUAUCCUCUUCGACUGCGAAUUCUUGAGCUGGUUGAUCAUUUAUGAAUGCAAGUUUCUCCUCAGGUGGGAAAUUAGAAUCUUGGAUACCAAGUCUAGCUCUACCAAAUAAAGUCACUGCUGGCCUUUUGCUCGGAGGAGACAAACUCAAGAGUCCGCUAGAAGAUACUUUUAUCGGUUGUGAUUGAGAUUCUGCAGAAAUUUGUUUAGCCCCCUUAACUAUAGGAGAAUAACCAAUGGCUCUGGCCAAGGUAUCGGCUGCAGGAGAAGCUUCCACACUAAUGUCCAAAAGUUUCCAGACAGGAUCAGCCGAAGUUAAUUGCGUGCCAAUGGAGCGCUUCCUUACAUAAUCAAGCUCCAUAGCCCAGCAACUGGGGGUUGUUGAAACAACCCAUUUAGGUGCGAGCAAUUGCAGAGCCCACUCUAGUUCUUCCCUGGAAGAAUGCAUGGAGUAACAGACAUGCCAAACGCCAAAUUGGUCCCUCACUGCUUCCUUAAAUCUUAGUUUUCUUUGACUUUCAACACCUGAAUCAUCUUCCUCACACGCAUACCACUGUGCUGAAGGGCGAAUAAUCAGAGGCUCUGGCUGGGAAUUAGCUUGUGCCUCCACAAGCUUUGCAGCUGCUCGUUCAUACAAUUUAGGAAAUCCAUCAAACACGUGGAAACGUGAAGAUGGAUCUUGAGUGAUGACUUGGGGAACUGUCAGUGUUAGAGCGUGGAAGCAUUCCGGAUUGGCAGCUUUGUCAACAUAUAUUUUGGAACCAAAAGUUUGAGACACUUGAGCCAAUAUAUCCUCUUGACCAAGAAGAUCACAGGUCAGAUACACCAGAGCUGCAGCAGGGUGCUUCCAUAUACAAUUGAUUACCUGUUGGCUUGCUGAAUUCUUGCUAGGAAGUUUCUGAUGGAAUCUUCCAAAUGUACAGUCUAGAAAAACAUAAUCGAGUUGGCACCUAGGCUCUCUUCCUUUCUUGCUGAUAUACUUCUCUGGAAAACACUGUAGACACUCUGGAGUGAGCCUGCAAUCUCCUGUGUGCAGGAUGUUUCCAAAAUUUCCCUCAAACAAGAACAUCACAGCUCCUGAAGUUCAGAAAUCCAUGCCAGACAAGGGAUCAUCUGUGACAGGGCAGUGAUUCGCAUCAAAAGCUGUAACCGAGAAUUGCCCAUCUGGGUCAUCAAUCACCACCGACUGGCCCACCUCAAUAUCCACAAACAAUGAAUCCUCAAGCUGGGGAUAAUAAUGGAGAACAAGGGAUUUCGUGAGAUGGGUAGCGUAAAUUGGAU